This 1087-nucleotide long non-coding RNA is filed under the name Pogona vitticeps (central bearded dragon). RNAcentral describes it as "lncRNA (ENSPVIG00000011805.1)". Lineage: Eukaryota; Metazoa; Chordata; Lepidosauria; Squamata; Agamidae. The record is from RNAcentral.
GGUUCCAUUUAUUACAUGGACAAAGUAUAGGGUGGAGAGGAUAAGAAAUUGAAAUUGUUAGUGGAAACCCUAUCAAGGUCCAACACCCUUGGACUAUAUAGAGAUUAUUGAUAGACUUUGUUCUGAGAUAGAGAUUUCUGAUUAAGCAGUUGGUCCACCAGAUAUUACACCAGCAGAUCUGUGAUGGAUCUUGGUCUGUGAUACAGGCCACUAACUUUGUAUCAAGUUCCUUGAUAAACAUUAGCUUACGAUAGAGCAAAUACUGCAUGAAAUACUCUGUCAUAUGGUCCAUGGUAGACCUUCAUCCAUAUACCCACUUAGGGUCCAUGUAGGAUUCAAUGAUGCAGCGUGUGUGUGUUUGUAUCACUUAUCAAAUAUUCCAUAUACCCACUUAGGGUCCAUGUAGGAGUCAAUGAUGCAGCUUGUGUGUGUCUGCAUCACUUCUCUAUCAAAUACUCAUGAGUCUUGGAUGGAGACUGAUGGCAAAACUUAGUCCAUAAUGAAGGCUGUACACCAUCAGUUUGUUACAAAGCUUUUGUUCCCUUGCUAAUUUCUUUGCCUUUUAAACAGUCACUCCCGGCAUGGAAAGCGAUGGAAGCCUUACCCUGAGUGAAGGAGGGCUAUCCAGGAAAGAUUUCGUCACAGGCAGAACCACUUCUGAUCCAUUAAGUAUUAGCUCCACACAACAUCAAUUGGUGCCAACUUCAGAUCCUCUGGGGAAAUCAACAGGGAAUGGUAGGUGAAAACCUAAAUCCUCUGGUCUCCAUUUUAGAGAGAAAGCCAUCUAAAGUUUCCUCCUGAUUUUCUUAGGAACCUCCCAUCUUAUUUGGAACUGUGGUGUAUAAUUUGGCUUCUAAACCCUUGCUUGUUUUCUCUCUCAUGGAAGGAUGAGAAAGCAUGAAAUCGUUUUCCUCAUCCCAUGAGAAGGUGAGGUAUUUUACAGUGCUCUAAACGAGACAAGGGAAUAAUUUAUUUAUUAUUUAUUUAUUAGAUUUCUGUCCCGCCCAUCUAGACCAAAGGUCUAAUCUGGACGGCUUACAAAUUUAAAAACAAUAAAACCAAUAAGCAUAUAUUCUAAAUCUAAGAU